This is a long non-coding RNA of Pseudopipra pipra, 4157 nucleotides long. RefSeq lists it as uncharacterized. The transcript has 2 exons. The record is from RefSeq and is a predicted model, not a curated record. NCBI's taxonomy places the organism in Eukaryota, Metazoa, Chordata, Aves, Passeriformes, Pipridae.
AAAAUCUGCUACUUUGCCUCUUCCCAUGCCACAGAUACAUGUAUAAGCAAAGACAUUUCCUGUACUGGUACAAAGAAAUAAACAAUUUCCCUAACCCCUCCUGUUAUGUAGAGAAAACAAUCAUACUUUCUCCCAUCCACACCCACCUAAUCUUUUCCUUCACUGUAGCUGAAAAAAAGCUUUGUCUUCCUCAAUAUCCCUGUAGAUGUCCACAGGCCCUCCCUGUGUCCUUUCCCAUUGGCUGCCAGGUGUAUAAAUGGUGUUUUCUGAUUACUUUCUGUAUUUUCUCAUAAUUUUCAGAAGCUGCGCAUGCACAUCAAAGCUAUCUGAAUAUCAAACACUGCAAUAACAUUAGGGUUCUCAGAUAUCUUAAACGUUUCAGGAAUGAAAAAAAAAUACUUUUCUAGUUAGUCUAAAGAGGGGAAGGGCUUGUUCACCUUCAAGAUGGAUAAGAAAAAACAGAAUUGAUAUCAAUUAUCUUUCCAUAGGGCUUGCAGGAGUUUUUCAUCUUAAAUGAUGUGCCUUUUCUGAGUGUCGAUGUCACAGAUGGUUUCAUGCACGUUCUGGGGUUAGUUACACCUUAACAUUGAGAUAAGACAAAGCCCACUAAGUGCCCUGUUUCAACUCCUUUCCAGUCAGGUACACUAUCCACAGUAUGCCUUCCACAGUUUAUUCAACACUCUUGGACUGCUAUGCAUACUAUGUAAAAAAUUGAGCUAGUCUAUCACAUAGUAAACAGUAUUUUAACUCAGUGGGAACACAUUACAUUGGUACCUGUCCUCUUUCUAAAACUGUGUGCACUGUAGGCAUUCAUCUUGAAGCCUGCGAGUGUCCUUGGGCCUGUUUGGAUGCCUUUCUUUCUCUCUCUCCGUCACUUUCUCCAUCUGCAACCCAUCUGCUGUCAAAGAUGGAGUAGUAGUACCUGAUGGAGUCUGAAGUGGAACUCAAGAUAAGGGCAAGCCCAUCUUGAUUCCUUCUGAAUGCAAUGCAAGCAACUUCAGUUUAAAAGCCUCUUUCAUGCAGGAUUUAGGUUGAUAAAGAGGAGGAACAUGCUAAUAUAAUUGUAAAAUACCUUGGCUGCAAAUAGCAAUGCCUUUAACAGCCUCUUCAAAAUCAUAGAGGCGGAUAUAUAAAGAAAAGAAGAAAGCAAAGCCUAAAUACUCAAAGACAAAGGAAAGGUUAAUUCUUUCACACCAAGUCUUACCCUCAGGAAUCUGAAAUAUGUCCUGUUGAGUGGCCACAAAACUUUUUUCUUUCUAAUACUGGCCAUACUGAACAUAUCAGCACUUUCCAGACCAGUGCUACACAGGAUGAGAUCAACAGACUUCAGUUCCCAGGACAGAAAUAAGUAUUAAGCAUCUCACAGGAGAAAGUGUAUGGUUCUCAGAAAUUAGAGAGCAAAAUGAAUUAGGGUUUUAUUGAUCCUUUUUCCUGCUCACGCAGCUUUUAUUACCCAAAGGUGUGAACUAACCUGUAAUGAUAGAAGAUUAGUCUUCCCUUUCUUGCAAACAAAUCCAGUGAGUGUUCAUGAGUGACAGAUUACUUAGACUCAUAAAAUAGUUUAGGUUGGAAGGGACUUUUAAAGGCCAUCUGGUCCGACCCCCUGCAAUGAGCAGGGACAGUUUCAAAAAGAUCAGAUUGCUCGGAGCCCUGUUCAGCCUGAUCUUGAAUGUUUCCAGGGAAGAGGCAUCUACCACCUCUCUGAUGGCACCACCUAUGCCAAAGAUCUCUUACUCAUAUCUAGUCUAAAUCUACCCCCUUUUAGUUUAAAAACAAUACCUCUUGUCUUAUCGCAACAGGUCCUACCAAAAAAGUUUGUCCCCAUCUUUCUCAUAAGGCCUCCUUAAGUAUCAAAAGGCCAUAAUAAGGUUUCCCUGGAGCCUUUUCUUCUCCAGACUGAACAACACCAGUUCUCUCAGCCUAUCUUCACAGGGCAGGUACUCCAUUCCUCUCAUCAUUUUUGUGGCCUUCCUCUGGACCCACUCCAACAGGUCGAACAGGUACCCAAAGAGGCCUGCAGACUGGAAAGUGCCAGCUCGGUGGGGCACAGGCAGUACUGGUUCUGUACCACAAUGAACACCUAAGGAAGAAGGUGAAGAAGCAGCAGUUGGAAGUGCUGAUGGAAUCAGAAGGCUGUUUGCCACAGCUGUCUUGAAGAGGCUUGGGUUGGUCUGUUACAGAUAUUAUCCUCCCAUGAUAAACUAUACCAAGUGUUCUAGGAAAAAAAUUAACAACUGUCUGGUAAAAAUGAUGUGGUGGAAUCACAACCAUUAAAUAAGAAAAUUAAAAGUCAUUAAAAAAAAAAAACAACAGAGCCAGAACAGUCUAGAACAAAGCAUGUAAUCUGUAAAACCUUGUCUAAAAGUAUUCCUGCCCACAUAGUACAUUAAAAUGCAUUAUUGACGAUAAUAUGCUAAUACAGAGUGAUACAGAACAUGCUGUGUUUCUUGAGCCAUUCAGUCAGGGCCCUUGUGACCAAGACAGAUCCUAAGCAGACUGUGAGGGGCUGCUGAGGUCUGUUUUUUCAGGCUGCCUUGGGGCCCAGUUCAUAUCUAGUUACCCUGUUAGAACACUGUAUCUCCUUAGCAUCACUGUGAGAUCUCCUAUGCCUGUCCACUUACCUCUCUAAAGUGGGUGCUGGUUAGGGUUUAAUUAUAUGGGUCUUUGGUAUGUAGUUGUAGGGCAAGCGAGACUGGCUGGUCAGUCACACAGCAUCUCCUCCACUGUAGUAUUAGCAUAUGCUUAUGUGGUCAGACACCAGGGAAUUCCUGAGAAGCCAUGCAUGUCCAAAACUGCAGUGAUGACACUGUGGAGCUCCCGGAGUGACGGGUGCAGCCGUUGCUCAGCACCUUGUUAUGCUCUGACUAUUCUCAUCAGACACUGCAAACUAUUUUUGCUUUAGAUAAAUGACCUCUAGGUAAAGCAAAUACAAGACUCCUUGAACAUCAUGGACUUGGAGGCCAUGGCACUUAUGGACAUGGUUUAGUGGUGGACUUGGUAGUGUUAGGUUAAUUUUUAGGUUUGAUGAACUUAAGGGUUCUUCCCAACCUAAAAAUGAUUCUAUGAUUCUAUGAAAAGUAGAGGUAAGACAAGCCUAGAACAAAGAACAAAAAAUGUGGCUUUCUGCUGUCUUUUAACUGUCCCCUCAUACUAAGCAGAAUCUUUACUCAUUCUCAACAUCUUUUAAAAUGUUCUAGGACCUAAGCUAUUUAAAAAUACAUGUUUUUUUUCCCCAUUGUUUUUGUGUAGCAAACCUUAGAUGCUGAGGUAGAGGCAUUAAACUACUUAGAAUAUGUCUCACCAUCAAUUAAACAUGGGUCCAAAUCUGUUGUCUCAGCCAGUAAUAUGCAUUUUAAAAGUAAACCCUUAAGCCCACUAAGUGGUUGCCUCAGGACGGCCUGAACAUAAUCAGCACCAGGUUCUCAUUAAUUUGUUGUGGAUAACUUAGGCAUGAGCAGGACUUUGUACACUACAGUAUUGUCUUUCAGUAGUUCAUGCUGAGAACAGUGUAGGCAGUUCAAAAUACAGUAGCCUACAAAUAAUAGCAUUGCAGAUGGAAAGCGCACCAGUCAGGGCUCGACUAGCUCUCAAACAUGCACUUCACUGUAUGGCACACGUGUAAGGUUUGUGACUCUACCCUCUCUCUACCAUUCCCAGAAACAAAAAAUUCCCAGCGGAGCAUCGCCUGCAACUUAGAAUAAAAUUGUAUUUCAAUGCAAUUAUAAAAAAAUGAGGUUAUGUAUUCAGAGUGUAGAGAGUUACUGCCACAAGUCAGCUUGCUAGUACAUAUUCAUACGGACAUGAGGGUAUAUGAAGCUAAACUGGCUUGCCAAGUUCAGGUGUUCCUUGCCCCUCAUUCCAGUGUAUGUUCUGUCGAGGUUAAACUUUAUUCUGUGUUCAAGGGUUUAAGAACUGCUAUUUAAGAACACAUAAUUCACAAUUUCUCUUACCGUAUUAAGACAAACUAAGGAUGUUUUAGUGGUCAUUGAGUUCACCCUGAAGAGAAUCUCUGAGAUCCUGUAAGUCUACGAGCACACAAGUAAUUUUUUAUUCUUCUGCUAUUACAGCUAUAUUGUGGGAGACUAUCUCACAACAUGUUUGUAUUUUAGUGCUGGCAAAUUGCAUAUUAAGUAAAAUAUGCAAUUUUCAUAUUUUCA